GUAUAUGUUUUUAAAUCGUUUCCGUUAAUUUAUUCCCAAUUUUUAUUUAAUUGGUGACGAUUAAGACUUUGAUAAAUUGUGUACUUUCAAAUCGGUGUAUGAAAAAAAACAUAACUGCAAGGGUUGUUGAGUUUAAAUAAGAUUAAUUGCUUUUGAAUAUCUUUCCCUCAAUGAUAUGCGUAAAAGAACCGAGAAAGAUGCUGUAAUACCUGAAUUUAAAAGGUUAAAUAAACAGAAAAUAUGUUUCUCUUUCAAAACCUUUUACUCCCCGCAAUCACCCC
RNAcentral lists this long non-coding RNA (281 nucleotides) under Mytilus galloprovincialis (Mediterranean mussel). Lineage: Eukaryota; Metazoa; Mollusca; Bivalvia; Mytilida; Mytilidae. The record is from RNAcentral.